UUUCUCUUCCAUUCUUCAGAUAAAUAAGGGAUGGUUUUUUGAUUACUGCUUAUCCGUUUUUCUGAAAAAUAAUCACUUGUCACUCAAGUUUUGGUUGAAAAAGGUUAAUUCAAGUUUGGUUGAAGAUUGCAGUCCUGAAGAACAUUGCUUUGGACGAAUUUUGUAAUAGCUUCAAAAGGUUAGUAAUUUCGUUGAAACUCCUUUUUGAUUAGGUUAUCUAGAUGUUAUGUAAUUUAAAUUGAUCUUGUAGAAUUGCUUCAGUUGUGCAUGUUAUAACAAUAACAUAUAUAUAUAUAUAUAUAUAGGGUUACUAGCUCGAUAGAGGCGGAAGUGUAAUGUGAUUUCUUUUAAUUUGCCUAACUCUCAGUAUGACUUACAUGGUCAAUAUGUUGGUGGAAUAUAGCAAGUAUUAUAGUUAUAAUAAUUGAAAUGUCACAAAUUGAAUUGAACAUUAUUGUUUAUCUUUAUACUCUUUUUGUCUCAUUUUAUGUGUCAUCAUUUUCUUUUCGGUCUAUUCCAAAAAAAUGUCACCUUUCCUUGGUAACUAUUUAAAUACACAAGUUCACUUUUAUUCUUAUUAGUCCCACUUAUAAGGUCCUACUUAAUUAAAGAUAGUAGUAGUAUAUUUUUUAAUAAAGAACAAUUUGAUAAACAUCGCCAGUCUUUCCUUAUUUCUUAAACUUUGUGUCCGGUCAAAGUAUGCCACAUAAAAUGAGACAAAGGGAGUAUUUCUACUGAUAUCUAAUCGAUAACAAACUUGAAUGGCUUUUGCAUAUAUAUAUAUACAUACAUACAUACAUACAUACAUAUUUAUAUAUAUGUAUAGAUAUAUAUACACACCAAUUCUAGACUUUUCUUAGAUUAUGAAAGAAAUUUCAUAAGAAAAAAUAUAAAUAUGGGGCUAUGCUGAUUAUUUAUAAAUUAUUUGUAAAUAAAUAGGGUAAAUAUGCAAAAAAAAAUAAUUUAUACUGCUCAUUUAAGUAUUGUAAAUAAUAUUUUUAUCCUCUAGAUACAAGAGAUAUUCUUGCGCUCUAAUCACAUGUAUUUCAUUUAUAAUACUUCCAAUACGGACAUGAUGUUGAUUUAUAGUUUUGUAGGCUUUUACAAAUUCAUUGAUAGAUUCAUCAAGAUUAUUCAAGGCUAUUUGAUAUUUUUAUAACCUUUUUCGAGACUAUCUUUAGAUGAUUGAGCUUCAAUCAUCAAUUUUUAUCAUUUAUACUUUCAGUAUAAAAACAAUGUUUAUAAAUAGUAAUAUACUGUAUGAUUAAUCAAGAUGAUAAAUUCUCUAUAGGUGCUUAGUAUCUAAAGCAUUAUGCUUCUAUGUAAAUUAAUAACAUGAAUAUAGAUUUUAAAAAUAUAUUAUUAAUAUUACAAAGUAAAGAUUUAUCUAUAUAUACUUCUCUAUUCUUGUUCUUAAAAUAGCUUUAUCACUUUCGUAGUAGCUCUACUUUGAGCAAUGAACAGUAUUUUUUCCUUUUCGAGUGGCCUGUAUACGUCUAUACUCUUACUGUUCCUCUGUCUGAGUGAAGAUCGCAACCUUCACUUGAAACUAUUUUAAAACUUAUAAAAGGGGAUACAGAACAAAGUUCUGUAAUUCAUAUUAUUAAUACAUAAAGAAAAAUUUUAUAUUCAAAUUUUUCUUUUACAUAUUCACCAUAUUACUAUGGAUACCUUUCCCUGGCGGCAUAAGUAUUUUUAUUUCCUCAAUGCCUAAUAUUUUUUCUCUAAAGUUGAUAAUGAAAAAUAUAGUUUAUCUUCUAGGAAUUUUUUACUUUCCUUUUAUAGAUCGAAGGAUGAGUAAAAUUAUAAGUAUGCUUUUUUGGGAGGUAUCUAUAUAAAAUUAUAUUUUUUUUUCUUUUGAUCCUUUAAUAAUGAUUUUCACCAUAAUAUUUCUUAUCUCUAAAGAUAAGAUUCUUCUUUAUUUUGUUGUUAUCCUUUUCGUUUUUCAGUUGUAGGCCUUAUGACGUAAGUGCUUACAUCUUUUGAAUUAUUAUCUUAUAAGAGUGCAAAGAGUACAAGAUCUUUCUCAAUGGACCAAGCUCGGAUUUACAAAGUGGGUGAAGACCUUUUGGAACCAUUUCAAGAGCCUUGGCAAAAGUUGAAGAUGGGAGAAGGGAUCUUAAACUCCAACGGCACCUCACUUAAAGGGCAUAGUUUUAUUUUACACUCCAAAAGCUACACUCAAAGAGCGUCUAUUCCUUGGCUUUCAUUAAGGGCAAUUUGAUCCUUUUGUGUAAUAACUAUAAAUAGAUAUUUAGGCUUCUAUUUCUCAUUAGUUUGUGAUGAAUAUUGAGUGAACUUAUUUUUUAGACUUCUUUCUUCUCUCUAGGAGUAGAAACCGUAACUAGGGUUAGCUUAAGUGUGGAUUCACUUGAGUUGACAAUUUGACUUAGAAACAUUGAUGCUUUGGGGUACUUCGAGUCCCUUUUGUGUCAACGUAAGAGCGUGGUGUUUCAAUUACAAGCUUUGGUGGGUCUUGGUGUUUGAUGCACACCUUGGUUCCUUUGGUAUUGUAGUUGUUAUGUCUCACUAACUAUCUUUUCAUUUAUGCAAGUUUUUGUGUGUUAGCUUCCAAAUCUGUGUGUUGUUUGCUUCUUGUGUCAUUAUCUCUACUUCAUCUUCUUUCUUUAGUUGUAGUUUUUGGUUUUUAUAUCUUAUUUCUAUAUUAUUUGUAUCAGGAGCCACGUUUUAAGGUUGUUCCUACAACUCUAAGUCUUGGAUUGUUGUUACCUUAAAGAAAAUCUUCACAAAAAAAGUCAAAAGUCCAAGAAUCAUAAAAAAAGUUGAGUUUCGUUUUUAGUCACUUAGAUCUGAAUCUUAAACACUAGAUCUAUUAGGUUUUUGUGUGUUUUGAUAGUUUCUAGUGCUAGAUCCUUGCUCACUAGCACUAAGAAAUUCUAGAUCUAAGAUUUGAGCAAGAUCCAAAUUAUUUUGAGCAUUCUACCAUUGUUAAAGUUGUGUUUGAAGCUUUUGGAGGUGGAAUCUCGUGUGGUGUGUUAUGGUUAUGAUGUUUUAGUAGUUAUUUUGUGUUAUUUGUGCUUGGCUUAACAAAGGGACCUUAGAUCUACAAUAAAAUUUAAAUUUGGAGGCCAUUUGCCUUGUGAUCAAACUUGGUGAACUCUUGAAUAUUCAUGUUUUGUUCUUCUUCAUCUUCACGUCUUGUUGAAUAAGAAUAUUCAAAAGAGGACGUUUAAUCUACAAAAAGAAAAAAGAAAGUGUAAAAGUUGUUUGUAGAAAAGAAUAUUUCAAGCAUAUUCAAGUCAUCCAAAGAGAAGAGGGAACAAAGGGAAUAUUCAAGUACAAUUGAAAGUACAAGGGGGACUAUCUCAUUUCAAAUCCAUUUGAAGCUUGAAAAGGGCUGAUUUCUCCCUCAAAAUCAGCCUACACUCUUUUGGUUAAUAUUUGGCCGAGACACAAAAUUGAAGAACAAUUUUUUUUUUUUUGCAUAGUUGAUGUCCAAUCACAAGGUGCCACAUCAUCAAUUUUGGACAACCGGAUCUUUUAGUUCAAACUUAGAUUUCUUAGUUUCUAUUUUUUGUUUCUUAGUUACAUUUUGUUAAAUCUAUUACUAAUUAUCAAACUAAUAACUAUCUAAUAGGUUGAGAAUUAGUUUAGUGUCCAUUUUUUCAUGUUAAUGUUCUUUGUGUGCUUUUCUGUUUUGUGAAUUCAUUGUGUUUUGUUGGUUCAAGUCCGAAAGUAAAUUUUCUUUGAGCCAACUCAAAUGAAAAUCUAUUCCGUGCAAAAGUAGACUCAGCCCUCAAUUAGUCACGAAGUACAAGCCAAUUUUCAACACUUGUGAAGCCAAGUGUGUGGUAAAAUCGAGAGUGAGAGUGUGUGAGGCUAUUUGAACUAACUUGUUUGUUCAUUUUGUAGGUUUGUUUUUGUUAGGUGCAUUUAAAAUGGAACCCGAAGCUACCACAUCUCAAACCUUGGGGAAUGAUGUUAGUGGAUUCCUCUUGGCUCAACUUGAGUCAUUAACCUUGAAUUGAGGAUGAUGAGAACGGAUUUUGGUAGACUAGAGGCGGAAAUGGGAUCAAUAAAGGGUGAUUUGGGGCCAAUGUAGAGUGACAUAACAACAAUGAGUGGACGGUUGGAACAAAUUGAGAGUUGAAGGAACUCACGACCCUCUAUUCCUCAUCCCUACCAUGUGUCUUCUAGUGUACAAGCCCAAAAUACAUCUACCACCAUUACACCCGAAACCCUCCACCAAAUGCUCUAUCUACCAAAACCUCCAUAAAAUCAUACCCAAACACCUACUUACUCCCAAACCCAAAAUCCUACAAGACCCCUUGACCCUCAAUUCACUCAAGUCCAAUAAGAAGGACUUGGUAACCAAAUACCAAGCCCAAACCCGAAUGCCUCACUAUAAGAUCCACUUAACCAAAGACUCUAUCCUCCACAAAAUACUACACCUCCUAUCCAAGCUCCACUUAACCAAAGGCUUUACCAACGACAAAAUCCCCCAUAUCAAGCUAUACUUAACCAAAAUCAACCCAUACAUGUAGAAAACUAUGGUAGAAAGAAACAAGAUGGUUAUGGAGUUUACAAUGAUGACUACAUGAUUGAUGAAGAGAUGAGAGGUGGAUAUGAUCAAAGAGGACAACAAGGUAGGUUUCGAGGGCAUGAAGGUAGACUUGGCCUUGGAAAUCCUCAAGGAACUCAUGAGAUUGG
RNAcentral lists this long non-coding RNA (4671 nucleotides) under Capsicum annuum. RNAcentral's name for it is "long non-coding RNA (CANN_LNC014702)". Lineage: Eukaryota; Viridiplantae; Streptophyta; Magnoliopsida; Solanales; Solanaceae. The record is from RNAcentral.